UACGUAGGGUGCGAGCGUUAAUCGGAAUUACUGGGCGUAAAGUGUGCGUAGGCGGGUCUUUAAGUCAGGGGUGAAAUCCUGGAGCUCAACUCCAGAACUGCCUUUGAUACUGAAGAUCUUGAGUCCGGGAGAGGUGAGUGGAACUGCGAGUGUAGAGGUGAAAUUCGUAGAUAUUCGCAAGAACACCAGUGGCGAAGGCGGCUCACUGGCCCGGUACUGACGCUGAGGCACGAAAGCGUGGGUAGCAAACAGG
RNAcentral lists this ribosomal RNA (253 nucleotides) under uncultured bacterium. RNAcentral's name for it is "partial 16S ribosomal RNA". It matches the Rfam family "Bacterial small subunit ribosomal RNA", at positions 524 to 776 of the family's 1533-position model. The record is from RNAcentral.